AUACGGAGGGUGCAAGCGUUGUCCGGAUUUAUUGGGUUUAAAGGGUACGUAGGUGGAUCCUUAAGUCCGUGGUGAAAGCCCGCAGCUCAACUGCGGAACUGCCAUGGAUACUGGGAAUCUUGAAUUCAGUUGAGGUUGGCGGAAUUUAUGGUGUAGCGGUGAAAUGCAUAGAUACCAUAAAGAACACCUAUUGCGAAGGCAGCUAACUGGACUUGAAUUGACACUGAGGUACGAAAGCGUGGGGAGCGAACAGGAUUAGAAACCCCAGUAGUCC
This 274-nucleotide ribosomal RNA is filed under the name uncultured bacterium. Its description in RNAcentral is "partial 16S ribosomal RNA". It matches the Rfam family "Bacterial small subunit ribosomal RNA", at positions 523 to 796 of the family's 1533-position model. The record is from RNAcentral.